This 233-nucleotide ribosomal RNA is filed under the name uncultured bacterium. Its description in RNAcentral is "partial 16S ribosomal RNA". It matches the Rfam family "Bacterial small subunit ribosomal RNA", at positions 100 to 334 of the family's 1533-position model. The record is from RNAcentral.
CGGGACGGGUGAGUAAUGUCUGGGAAACUGCCCGAUGGAGGGGGAUAACUACUGGAAACGGUAGCUAAUACCGCAUAAUGUCUGCGGACCAAAGCGGGGGACCUCCGGGCCUCGCGCCAUCAGAUGAACCCAUAUGGGAUUAGCUAGUAGGUAAGGUAACGGCUUACCUAGGCGACGAUCCCUAGCUGGUCUGAGAGGAUGAUCAGCCACACUGGAACUGAGACACGGUCCAG